UUAAUUGAAGAGUUUGAUCAUGGCUCAGAUUGAACGCUGGCGGCAGGCCUAACACAUGCAAGUCGGGCGGUAACAGGGAGAAGCUUGCUUCUCCGCUGACGAGCGGCGGACGGGUGAGUAAUGUAUGGGGAUCUGCCUGAUGGCGGGGGAUAACUACUGGAAACGGUAGCUAAUACCGCAUAAUGUCUGCGGACCAAAGCGGGGGACCUUCGGGCCUCGCGCCAUCAGAUGAACCCAUAUGGGAUUAGCUAGUAGGU
Molecule: ribosomal RNA, 257 nt
Filed under: Morganella morganii
Lineage: Bacteria; Pseudomonadati; Pseudomonadota; Gammaproteobacteria; Enterobacterales; Morganellaceae
Description: partial 16S ribosomal RNA
Rfam family: Bacterial small subunit ribosomal RNA
Source: RNAcentral